This 28-nucleotide ribosomal RNA is filed under the name Platanus orientalis. The record is from RNAcentral. Lineage: Eukaryota; Viridiplantae; Streptophyta; Magnoliopsida; Proteales; Platanaceae. RNAcentral also lists the same sequence under 1 other name.
CUCCUGGGAAGUUCUCGUGUUGCACCCC